GUUCCACCUCCAGCUGCAGUGAUGGGCUCAUCAGUGAAGGCGUUCCUCCUCAUCACGGGUCAGACUCACGGAGCUGACCAGCAGAUCCUGGAGCAGCUGGAGAGGCAGGGACUGAGAGUCAGAUCAGUCGACCUACAGAAGAGCGAUGUCAUCCUCCUCUUCUGUCCCAUCCUGUCCCGGGUCCGCUCCGACGUAGAGGUGGCUUUCAGAAAGAUCCCAGUUCCACCUCCAGCUGCAGUGAUGGGCUCAUCAGUGAAGGCGUUCCUCCUCAUCACGGGUCAGACUCACGGAGCUGACCAGCAGAUCCUGGAGCAGCUGGAGAGGCAGGGACUGAGAGUCAGACCUACAGUCGACCUACAGCAGAGCGAUGUCAUCCUCCUCUUCUGUCCCAUCCUGUCGCGGGUCCGCUCCGACGUGGAGGCGGUUUUCAGAAAGAUCCCAGGUAAGCGUCACUCCUGACCUGAGUAAU
RNAcentral lists this long non-coding RNA (469 nucleotides) under Neogobius melanostomus (round goby). RNAcentral's name for it is "lncRNA (ENSNMLG00000001960.1)". The record is from RNAcentral. Lineage: Eukaryota; Metazoa; Chordata; Actinopteri; Gobiiformes; Gobiidae.